RNAcentral lists this ribosomal RNA (301 nucleotides) under uncultured bacterium. Its description in RNAcentral is "partial 16S ribosomal RNA". It matches the Rfam family "Bacterial small subunit ribosomal RNA", at positions 509 to 809 of the family's 1533-position model. The record is from RNAcentral.
CAGUCGCCGCGGUAAUACGAAGGGGGCUAGCGUUGUUCGGAAUUACUGGGCGUAAAGCGCACGCAGGCGGCUCGAUAAAUUAGAAGUGAAAGCCUUGGGCUUAACCUGAGAAUUGCUUUUAAGACUGUCGAGCUAGAAUCCAGAAGAGGGUAGUGGAAUUCCGAGUGUAGAGGUGAAAUUCGUAGAUGUUCGGAAGAACACCAGUGGCGAAGGCGACUACCUGGUCUGGCAUUGACGCUCAUGUGCGAAAGCGUGGGGAGCAAACAGGAUUAGAUACCCCAGUAGUCCCUGUCUCUUAUAA